Molecule: ribosomal RNA, 497 nt
Filed under: uncultured bacterium
Lineage: Bacteria
Description: partial 16S ribosomal RNA
Rfam family: Bacterial small subunit ribosomal RNA
Source: RNAcentral
GAUGAACGCUGGCGGCGUGCCUAAUACAUGCAAGUCGAGCGAACGGACGAGAAGCUUGCUUCUCUGAUGUUAGCGGCGGACGGGUGAGUAACACGUGGAUAACCUACCUAUAAGACUGGGAUAACUUCGGGAAACCGGAGCUAAUACCGGAUAAUAUUUUGAACCGCAUGGUUCAAAAGUGAAAGACGGUCUUGCUGUCACUUAUAGAUGGAUCCGCGCUUCAUUAGCUAGUUGGUAAGGUAACGGCUUACCAAGGCAACGAUGCAUAGCCGACCUGAGAGGGUGAUAGGCCACACUGGAAGUGAGACACCGUCCAGACUCCUACGGGAGGCAGCAGUAGGGAAUCUUCCGCAAUGGGCGGAAGCCUGACGGAGCAACGCCGCGUGAGUGAUGAAGGUCUUCGGAUCGGAAAACUCUGUUAUUAGGGAAGAACAUAUGUGUAAGUAACUGUGCACAUCUUGACGGUACCCAAUCAGAAAGCCACGGCUAACUACGUG